GUGCCAGCAGCCGCGGUAAUACCGGCAGCCCGAGUGAUGGCCGAUCUUAUUGGGCCUAAAGCGUCCGUAGCUGGCCGCGCAAGUCCGUCGGGAAAUCCAUCAGCUCAACUGAUGGGCGUCCGGCGGAAACUGCACGGCUUGGGACCGGAAGGCUCGAGGGGUACGUCCGGGGUAGGAGUGAAAUCCCGUAAUCCUGGACGGACCACCGGUGGCGAAAGCGCCUCGAGAGGACGGACCCGACGGUGAGGAACGAAAGCCAGGGUCUCGAACCGGAUUAGAUACCCGGGUAGUCC
This 293-nucleotide ribosomal RNA is filed under the name uncultured bacterium. RNAcentral describes it as "partial 16S ribosomal RNA". It matches the Rfam family "Archaeal small subunit ribosomal RNA", at positions 455 to 747 of the family's 1478-position model. The record is from RNAcentral.